UACGGAGGGGGCUAGCGUUGUUCGGAAUUACUGGGCGUAAAGCGCACGUAGGCGGACCAGAAAGUUGGGGGUGAAAUCCCGGGGCUCAACCCCGGAACUGCCUUCAAAACUAUUGGUCUGGAGUUCGAGAGAGGUGAGUGGAAUACCGAGUGUAGAGGUGAAAUUCGUAGAUAUUCGGUGGAACACCAGUGGCGAAGGCGGCUCACUGGCUCGAUACUGACGCUGAGGUGCGAAAGCGUGGGGAGCAAACGGG
RNAcentral lists this ribosomal RNA (253 nucleotides) under uncultured bacterium. RNAcentral's name for it is "partial 16S ribosomal RNA". It matches the Rfam family "Bacterial small subunit ribosomal RNA", at positions 524 to 776 of the family's 1533-position model. The record is from RNAcentral.